Molecule: long non-coding RNA, 1632 nt
Organism: Neltuma alba
Lineage: Eukaryota; Viridiplantae; Streptophyta; Magnoliopsida; Fabales; Fabaceae
Exons: 2
Source: RefSeq, a predicted model, not a curated record
CUCCUCUGUUCUGCAUUAGAUCCGGGCGUGUGUGAGUGUGUUGCAUCAAGUCAUCUUCAUUGCCCAAAACUAUGAAAAUUUGCCAAACAGAAGCCCUUUUAAACUGAUAUCAUCAUAAGUAAAUUGACACAGCUCAAGUAUUUUACAUUUUCAUUACUAUUGAGGGCUUUCUUAAUUGUGAAAUAAGAAAAGUUUAUGCAUAUACAUUGAUUUUUAUAUUGAAUAUUUUACUCUCAUUAUAUUUAAGAGAAAAAAGAGUCACAUGAUCUCUUACUAAAUUAGCUCCUAUGAAAUUGAACUCAAAUUGAAGUACAAAACACUGCCAUUUUUCUUACUGAAUUAAUUUUCUCCGGUUCAAUAAAUUUUGUGGGGAGGGCUACCACUUAAAUAUCAAAACAGAGAUGAAGAGAGAUCAUCUACACUCUCUUUUCAUUUUGGAUGUGAUUUAGAGUCUGAACUUUUCUCUUAUUAUUGGCAUAUAUGUUCAUGGGAUUAGAAGCUUUCUCUGCAGAGAAAACACACUUGUAAUAAACAGGUUCAUGGAGAAUGAAGUUGAAGAAGAGAAGUGGAAUAAGUUUUGGUACGAGACAAAGAUGGAGUCCUACCAUUGGUAGAUCAAGGCUCAAAAAAAAGGGGGAAAAUAAAAAAAGAAAACGUGACCGCUUCAUUGUCAUAUUUUAAUGCCAGAAUGAUAAAUUAUCUUACUACUCUGCUUUUGCAUACAAUGGCUUCUCCUUUUGAAAUCACAGGGGACUAUCCACAUUCAUACAUAGGAAAUAUCUGGGGUAAGACUGUCUUUACAUUUGGAUGAUUUGAUGCUCGAACUUAGAGGCUAUGCUUAUAGUACGGAGAUUGGUGAACUUUUCUGUGAUAUAAUUGACAUUGGCGGGUUUAUUCAUUAUUCCAAACAUCAUAUACAAGUUGGAAAAGAAGAGCAGGAGAAACACAGUUUAACUCACGGUCACGGCAGGAUGAAGUUGACGAGCAGAGAAGUAGAGUUAGUCCCACAUCGAUAAGGUUGCAAGACAGAGGAGGCUGCGAUGCCUAUAAAACUGAAGGAUGGACGCCAGUACACGCAUACUUACCUGGACGGGGUCUAUGGGUGAUCAUGAAGGCCCAUGGCCUAGGCUGGUGACCUCCAUUGCACUGGGGAGGGGUGUCCGCCUAAGGUCUCCUCAAGUAGGAGAGCCUACGUCGUAAUUUGUGGCAGUGGGGGCCUGCGUUCGCGCGGCCCCUUCCUAUUUUAGUUCUGAAACCAAGGGACAUUUCUUGAGCACUACUACGAUCUCCAGUUGACGGUAACGGAUAUGAGGUAGAUGCGCGCUUACUGUUUGUUCAGUGGUUCUGCCAUCCUAGAGCACUACUACGAUCUCCUGUUGAUGUUAAUGGAUUGGCAACAAUUUUUUUUGUGUCGUUGAGGAAAUUAUAUAUGUUUUCAGCGUGGCUGUCUCUCAUACUUGCUGGUUUGAAGUUGGAGAGAAACGGGUGUGCCCUUGAAUUUGUUUCUCGGGGUUUACAAGAACUCUGCGGCAUCCUCAUGUUUGUUUUUGAAUCUGUUCAUGUUCCUGGUUUUAUGAUAAACUCAAUUCUCUCAUGAUUUUGUUUCUCUAAAGUUGUUCGUGUUACUUACUG